Molecule: ribosomal RNA, 465 nt
Filed under: Vreelandella stevensii
Lineage: Bacteria; Pseudomonadati; Pseudomonadota; Gammaproteobacteria; Oceanospirillales; Halomonadaceae
Description: partial 16S ribosomal RNA
Rfam family: Bacterial small subunit ribosomal RNA
Source: RNAcentral
CCUACGGGUGGCUGCAGUGGGGAAUAUUGGACAAUGGGGGGAACCCUGAUCCAGCCAUGCCGCGUGUGUGAAGAAGGCCCUCGGGUUGUAAAGCACUUUCAGUGAGGAAGAACGCCUGGUGGUUAAUACCCAUCAGGAAAGACAUCACUCACAGAAGAAGCACCGGCUAACUCCGUGCCAGCAGCCGCGGUAAUACGGAGGGUGCGAGCGUUAAUCGGAAUUACUGGGUGUAAAGCGCGCGUAGGUGGCUUGAUAAGCCGGUUGUGAAAGCCCCGGGCUCAACCUGGGAACGGCAUCCGGAACUGUCAAGCUAGAGUGCAGGAGAGGAAGGUAGAAUUCCCGGUGUAGCGGUGAAAUGCGUAGAGAUCGGGAGGAAUACCAGUGGCGAAGGCGGCCUUCUGGACUGACACUGACACUGAGGUGCGAAAGCGUGGGUAGCAAACAGGAUUAGAUACCCCAGUAGUC